This 328-nucleotide ribosomal RNA is filed under the name uncultured bacterium. RNAcentral's name for it is "bacterial SSU rRNA". It matches the Rfam family "Bacterial small subunit ribosomal RNA", at positions 1 to 334 of the family's 1533-position model. The record is from RNAcentral.
GUGAGUAGUUCAGAGUUUGAUCCUGGCUCAGGAUGAACACUAGCUACAGGCUUAACACAUGCAAGUCGAGGGUCUGCUUCGGCAGACGACCGGCGCACGGGUGAGUAACGCGUAUCCAACCUGCCCUUCAUAUUGGGAUAGCCUCUCGAAAGGGAGAUUAAUACCGAAUAACAUGAGAUAGUUGCCUGAUUUUCUCAUGAAAGCUCCGGCGAUGAAGGAUGGGGAUGCGUUCCAUUAGGUAGUAGGCGGGGUAACGGCCCACCUAGCCGACGAUGGAUAGGGGUUCUGAGAGGAAGGUCCCCCACACUGGAACUGAGACACGGUCCAG